RNAcentral lists this small nuclear RNA (183 nucleotides) under Crocodylus porosus (Australian saltwater crocodile). RNAcentral describes it as "U2 spliceosomal RNA (ENSCPRG00005012182.1)". It matches the Rfam family "U2 spliceosomal RNA", at positions 36 to 192 of the family's 192-position model. Rfam says of the family: U2 is a small nuclear RNA (snRNA) component of the spliceosome (involved in pre-mRNA splicing). Lineage: Eukaryota; Metazoa; Chordata; Crocodylia; Crocodylidae. The record is from RNAcentral.
ACAUCUGUGCUUUUUAUAUUCAGGUGGUUUUCCCAGGGCAGGUGAUUGUCUCUGAUAUGUCCUCCAUUGGAGGUCUAUAUUGAGCAGAUUCUUUUUGGUGUUGGGUGGUGGAACUGGAGCUUGCUCCAUCCACUCCAUGCAUUGACCUGGUAUUCCAGUGCUUCCAGGACUGGUGCAAAAAAA